AAAUAAAUAACCUUAUGUUAAAAAAAAAAUUAUGCUAAGUCUACUCUGCCUGGGCUCUAUAAAUGGAACAACAAAGCGUGGAUGACAGCACAUCUGUUUACGGCAUGGUUUACUGAAUAUUUUAAGCCCACUCUUGAGACCUACUGCUCAGAAAAACAGAUUCCUUUCAAAAUAUUACUGCUCAUUGAAAAUGCACCUGGUCAUCCAAAAGCUCU
Molecule: long non-coding RNA, 215 nt
Organism: Aethalodelphis obliquidens (Pacific white-sided dolphin)
Lineage: Eukaryota; Metazoa; Chordata; Mammalia; Artiodactyla; Delphinidae
Exons: 4
Source: RefSeq, a predicted model, not a curated record